UACGUAGGGGGCAAGCGUUAUCCGGAUUUACUGGGUGUAAAGGGAGCGCAGACGGCAGUGCAAGUCUGGAGUGAAAGCCCGGGGCUCAACCCCGGGACUGCUUUUGGAACUAUCUAGCUAGAUUGCAGGAGAGGUAAGUGGAAUUCCUAGUGUAGCGGUGAAAUGCGUAGAUAUUAGGAGGAACACCAGUGGCGAAGGCGGCCUGCUGGGCUUUUACUGACGCUGAGGCUCGAAAGUGUGGGGAGCAAACAGG
Molecule: ribosomal RNA, 253 nt
Filed under: uncultured Eubacteriales bacterium
Lineage: Bacteria; Bacillati; Bacillota; Clostridia; Eubacteriales
Description: uncultured Clostridiales bacterium partial 16S ribosomal RNA
Rfam family: Bacterial small subunit ribosomal RNA
Source: RNAcentral